This 734-nucleotide ribosomal RNA is filed under the name uncultured fungus. RNAcentral describes it as "eukaryotic LSU rRNA". It matches the Rfam family "Eukaryotic large subunit ribosomal RNA", at positions 24 to 664 of the family's 3401-position model. The record is from RNAcentral. Lineage: Eukaryota; Fungi.
CCCGCUGAACUUAAGCAUAUCAAUAAGCGGAGGAAAAGAAACUAACAAGGAUUCCCCUAGUAACGGCGAGUGAAGCGGGAAUAGCUCAAAUUUGAAAUCUCAUGGGUUCCACCUAUGCGAAUUGUAGUUUAGAGAAGUGUUUUCGGGGACGGCUUGGGUAUAAGUCCUUUGGAAAAAGGCAUCGUAGAGGGUGAGAAUCCCGUUAACGACCCAACGUUCGUUCCUAUGUGAUACACUUUCAAAGAGUCAGGUAGUUUGGGAAUGCUGCCUAAAAUGGGUGGUAAAUACCAUCUAAAGCUAAAUAUUGGCGAGAGACCGAUAGCGAACAAGUACCGUGAGGGAAAGAUGAAAAGAACUUUGAAAAGAGAGUUAAACAGUACGUGAAAUUGCCAAAAGGGAAACGCUUGAAACCAGUAUUGCUGGUAGGAAAUCAGCCUCGCCGCCUCGAAAGAGUGAAGCGGGGUGCACUUUUCUGCACGCAAGUCAACAUCAGUUUGAAUUGAAGUAAAAAGCCUUGGGAAGGUAGCUUGGACUCGUCUGAGUGUUAUAGCCCAAGGUCAUGCUUUGAUUUGGACUGAGGUCUGCAGCGUAAUUUGGGCACCUAGUCGCCUCUUAAGGCUUCUCAGUAGACAGCAUGCUGACUAUUGGGUUUGUUGAGAGAGCCCGGUUAGUUCGCUACACCAACGCUUAGGAUGUUGACGAAAUGGUUUUAAACGACCCGUCUUGAAACACGG